GCUGGCGGCGUGCUUAACACAUGCAAGUCGAACGAUGAACCCUUCGGUGGGGAUUAGUGGCGAACGGGUGAGUAACACGUGGGCAAUCUGCCCUUCACUCUGGGACAAGCCCUGGAAACGGGGUCUAAUACCGGAUACCACUACCGCAGGCAUCUGUGGUGGUUGAAAGCUCCGGCGGUGAAGGAUGAGCCCGCNGCCUAUCAGCUUGUUGGUGAGGUAAUGGCUCACCAAGGCGACGACGGGUAGCCGGCCUGC
This 255-nucleotide ribosomal RNA is filed under the name Frankia sp. RG-2005.1. Its description in RNAcentral is "partial 16S ribosomal RNA". It matches the Rfam family "Bacterial small subunit ribosomal RNA", at positions 35 to 295 of the family's 1533-position model. The record is from RNAcentral. Lineage: Bacteria; Bacillati; Actinomycetota; Actinomycetes; Frankiales; Frankiaceae.